Molecule: transfer RNA, 69 nt
Filed under: Marmota monax (woodchuck)
Lineage: Eukaryota; Metazoa; Chordata; Mammalia; Rodentia; Sciuridae
Description: tRNA.Ala
Rfam family: tRNA
About the family: Transfer RNA (tRNA) molecules are approximately 80 nucleotides in length. Their secondary structure includes four short double-helical elements and three loops (D, anti-codon, and T loops).
Source: RNAcentral
GGAUGGAGCUCAGUGGCAGAGCACUUGCCUAGCAUGUGAGAAGCCCUGGGUUCAAUCCUCAGCAUCACA